AUAAACGCUGGCGGCGUGCUUAACACAUGCAAGUCGAACGAAGUUUUUCUUUCGGGAGGAACUUAGUGGCGGACGGGUGAGUAACGCGUGGGUAACCUGCCCUGUACAGGGGGACAACAGCUGGAAACGGCUGCUAAUACCGCAUAAGCCCUUAGCACUGCAUGGUGCAUAGGGAAAAGGAGCAAUCCGGUACAGGAUGGACCCGCGUCUGAUUAGCCAGUUGGCAGGGUAACGGCCUACCAAAGCGACGAUCAGUAGCCGAUCUGAGAGGAUGUACGGCCACAUUGGGACUGAGACACGGCCCAGACUCCUACGGGAGGCAGCAGUGGGGAAUAUUGCACAAUGGAGGAAACUCUGAUGCAGCGACGCCGCGUGAGUGAAGAAGUAUUUCGGUAUGUAAAGCUCUAUCAGCAGGAAAGAAAAUGACGGUACCUGACUAAGAAGCACCGGCUAAAUACG
RNAcentral lists this ribosomal RNA (459 nucleotides) under uncultured bacterium. RNAcentral describes it as "partial 16S ribosomal RNA". It matches the Rfam family "Bacterial small subunit ribosomal RNA", at positions 29 to 505 of the family's 1533-position model. The record is from RNAcentral.